Transfer RNA from Metschnikowia bicuspidata var. bicuspidata NRRL YB-4993, 111 nucleotides. It matches the Rfam family "tRNA". Rfam says of the family: Transfer RNA (tRNA) molecules are approximately 80 nucleotides in length. Their secondary structure includes four short double-helical elements and three loops (D, anti-codon, and T loops). The record is from Rfam. NCBI's taxonomy places the organism in Eukaryota, Fungi, Ascomycota, Pichiomycetes, Serinales, Metschnikowiaceae.
GGGCGUGUGGUCUAGUGGUAUGAUUCUCGCUUUGGGAACUUGAUGCGAUUCUCGAUCGUUGCUACUGUUCAAAUAUGCGAGAGGCCCUGGGUUCAAUUCCCAGUAUGCCCC